RNAcentral lists this unclassified non-coding RNA (194 nucleotides) under uncultured Ascomycota. RNAcentral's name for it is "sequence contains ITS2". The record is from RNAcentral. Lineage: Eukaryota; Fungi; Ascomycota.
CACACUCCAAGCUCAGCUUGAUGUUGGAUGAUGCGGGAGGCCUAUUUGGGGUCUUCUGCACGUCCGGAACAUGUGGACGUCCGGUCUGUCGAGAAACCACGAGCGUAGCAAGGCAUAACUGUCAUUUCGUUCGGUUGGAACUCCAGCGGGCUUGUCUUUUCUUACUCUGCUAUUCACGUAGUAGUACUUCACGA